RNAcentral lists this ribosomal RNA (409 nucleotides) under Escherichia coli. Its description in RNAcentral is "bacterial SSU rRNA". It matches the Rfam family "Bacterial small subunit ribosomal RNA", at positions 338 to 744 of the family's 1533-position model. Lineage: Bacteria; Pseudomonadati; Pseudomonadota; Gammaproteobacteria; Enterobacterales; Enterobacteriaceae. The record is from RNAcentral.
CCUAUGGGGGGCACCAGUGAGGAAUAUUGGUCAAUGGGCGCGAGCCUGAACCAGCCAAGUCGCGUGAGGGAGGACGGCCCUACGGGUUGUAAACCUCUUUUGCCGGGGAGCAACGGGCGCCACGUGUGGCGCCACUGAGAGUACCCGGAGAAAAAGCAUCGGCCAACUCCGUGCCAGCAGCCGCGGUAAUACGGAGGAUGCGAGCGUUAUCCGGAUUUAUUGGGUUUAAAGGGUGCGUAGGCGGACUGUUAAGUCAGCGGUCAAAUGUCGGUGCUCAACGCCGGCCUGCCGUUGAAACUGGCGGUCUUGAGUGAGCGAGAAGUAUGCGGAAUGCGUGGUGUAGCGGUGAAAUGCAUAGAUAUCACGCAGAACUCCGAUUGCGAAGGCAGCAUACCGGCGCUCAACUGAC